RNAcentral lists this ribosomal RNA (469 nucleotides) under uncultured bacterium. Its description in RNAcentral is "bacterial SSU rRNA". It matches the Rfam family "Bacterial small subunit ribosomal RNA", at positions 335 to 797 of the family's 1533-position model. The record is from RNAcentral.
GGCCUACGGGGGGCAGCAGUGGGGAAUUUUGGACAAUGGGGGCAACCCUGAUCCAGCCAUGCCGCGUGAGUGAAGAAGGCCUUCGGGUUGUAAAGCUCUUUCGGCCGGGAAGAAAUCGCAUCAGCUAAUACCUGGUGUGGAUGACGGUACCGGAAUAAGAAGCACCGGCUAACUACGUGCCAGCAGCCGCGGUAAUACGUAGGGUGCGAGCGUUAAUCGGAAUUACUGGGCGUAAAGCGUGCGCAGGCGGUUGGGUAAGACAGAUGUGAAAGCCCCGGGCUCAACCUGGGAACUGCAUUUGUGACUGCAUAGCUAGAGUACGGCAGAGGGGGAUGGAAUUCCGCGUGUAGCAGUGAAAUGCGUAGAUAUGCGGAGGAACACCGAUGGCGAAGGCAAUCCCCUGGGCCUGUACUGACGCUCAUGCACGAAAGCGUGGGGAGCAAACAGGAUUAGAUACCCCAGUAGUCAA